Molecule: ribosomal RNA, 501 nt
Filed under: uncultured soil bacterium
Lineage: Bacteria
Description: bacterial SSU rRNA
Rfam family: Bacterial small subunit ribosomal RNA
Source: RNAcentral
AGAUUGAACGCUGGCGGCAGGCCUAACACAUGCAAGUCGAGCGGUAGAGAGGUGCUUGCACCUCUUGAGAGCGGCGGACGGGUGAGCAAUGCCUAGGAAUCUGCCUAGUGGUGGGGGAUAACGUUCGGAAACGGACGCUAAUACCGCAUACGUCCUACGGGAGAAAGCGGGGGACCUUCGGGCCUCGCGCCAUUAGAUGAGCCUAGGUCGGAUUAGCUAGUUGGUGAGGUAAUGGCUCACCAAGGCGACGAUCCGUAACUGGUCUGAGAGGAUGAUCAGUCACACUGGAACUGAGACACGGUCCAGACUCCUACGGGAGGCAGCAGUGGGGAAUAGUUGGACAAUGGGACGAAAAGCCUAGAUCCAGCCAUGCCGCGUGUGUAGAAGAAGGUCUUCGGAUUAGUAAAGCUACUUUAAGUUGGUAGGAAAGGUUUAGUAAACUAAGUACGUUAGACUAACUUUACGACGUUAACGACAAGAAUAAGCACCGGAUAACUUCGC